GCCAGCAGCCAUAUCUCCCUGCAGCUCACAACUGGCAGCCAAGGUGUGAGCCUGGUCAGUACCUGGAUGAGAGACCUCCUGGGAAUAACUUAGGUUGCUGCUGGAA
RNAcentral lists this ribosomal RNA (106 nucleotides) under Lepisosteus oculatus (spotted gar). The record is from RNAcentral. Lineage: Eukaryota; Metazoa; Chordata; Actinopteri; Semionotiformes; Lepisosteidae.